UACGUAGGGUGCAAGCGUUGUCCGGAAUUAUUGGGCGUAAAGAGCUCGUAGGCGGUCUGUUGCGUCGGCUGUGAAAACCCGGGGCUCAACCCCGGGCCUGCAGCCGAUACGGGCAGACUAGAGUUCGGCAGGGGAGACUGGAAUUCCUGGUGUAGCGGUGAAAUGCGCAGAUAUCAGGAGGAACACCAGUGGCGAAGGCGGCUUCCUGGCCCGAAUCUGACGCUGAGGUGCGAAAGCGUGGGGAGCGAUCCGG
This 253-nucleotide ribosomal RNA is filed under the name uncultured bacterium. Its description in RNAcentral is "partial 16S ribosomal RNA". It matches the Rfam family "Bacterial small subunit ribosomal RNA", at positions 524 to 776 of the family's 1533-position model. The record is from RNAcentral.